Long non-coding RNA from Ailuropoda melanoleuca (giant panda), 513 nucleotides. RefSeq lists it as uncharacterized. The record is from RefSeq and is a predicted model, not a curated record. Lineage: Eukaryota; Metazoa; Chordata; Mammalia; Carnivora; Ursidae. The transcript is spliced from 3 exons.
AGGGCGCGCGGCCCGCGGAAGGGUCGGGGAAGUGGAGCGGCAGUCUCCGCAGCUCCCGGGCACGCGCCGCUGCCUCGCUCUGCUGGGGUUGGGCGAGUCCUCCAGCUGCGCUCUAGGCUCUCAAGCAGGCCUGGGUGCAGGGGUGCCGCCGCUCCUGCUCCCGGGCCACCGUGCACGGUUCUCCGUCUACCGUCUAUCCGGGUCGGGAACCGAGUCCUCUGUGUUAGCCGAUUCCCCAGGGUGGUAGAUUUGUUCUGUUGAUCAGACUGAAGUUUCCGUCUUUUGCAAAAAUGGACCUUACGUGGUAUCCUGUGGCUUCCUUUGGGAAAGGCAGAAAACGCGAAAACAUGAACCUUUAAUGCAAAAGCAUCUUUUACAGUAGCCAAGAGACGAAAACCACCUAAAUGUCCAUCAAUGGAUGAAUGGAUAAAGAAGAUGUGGCAUAUAUAUAAAGUCAUGAUCUCAGGGACAAGACAUCAAGCCCCUGAGCUGGGCUCUGCACUCAGUGGGAAG